AAAAAAAUCUAUAUGAGAAAAUUUUAUAUAUAAAUAAAUUUUUAUGAUUUAAAAAAAUUUAAUUUAAAUUUAUUUUACAUGUAAAUUUUAGUGUUAAUUUUUAAUUAUUUUAAUAAUAAUUAUUAAUAUUUUCAGUAAUUAAAAUUAAAAAUUUAAGAAAUUAAGAUUUAGAAAUAUUUUGAUUAUUAACAAAUUUUGUGCCAGCAGUUGCGGUUAUACAAAAAAUAAUUUAAAUUUUAUCGGUAUAUAAUAAAUAAGAAUUAUUAUUUAAAUUAAAUAUUAAAUUAUUAAGUGAAAUUUUAAUUUAAUUAAAAUUUAUAUUAAUUUUAUGAUUUAUUAAAUUUUAUAAAAAACUAGGAUUAGAUACCCUAUUAUUAAAAAUUAAAUUUAUAAUACUAAAAUAGUAGAUAAUAAUUUAUUGAAACUUAAAUAAUUUGGCGGUAUUUUAGUUCAUUUAGAGGAAUCUGUUUAAUAAUUGAUAAUCCACGAAUAAAUUUACUUAAUUUAUUAUUUUGUAUAUCGUUGUUAAAAAAAUAUUUUUUAAUAAAAAUAAUAUUUAAAAAUUUUUAUAUAAAAUUAAUUCAGAUCAAGAUGCAGAUUAUAAUUAAGAAUAUAAUGGAUUACAAUAAAUAAAUUUAAAUGAAUAAUAUUUUUUAAUAAAUAUUUGAAGGUGGAUUUAAAUGUAAUUUUAAUUAAUUUAUUAAAAUGAUUAUAUAUUAAAAUAUGUACAUAUUGCCCGUCGCUUUCAUUAAUAAAUUGGAAUAAGUCGUAACAAAGUAGAGGUACUGGAAAGUGUUUCUAGAAAGAA
RNAcentral lists this non-coding RNA (808 nucleotides) under Parnassius mercurius. Lineage: Eukaryota; Metazoa; Arthropoda; Insecta; Lepidoptera; Papilionidae. The record is from RNAcentral.